Molecule: non-coding RNA, 887 nt
Organism: Schizosaccharomyces pombe (fission yeast)
Lineage: Eukaryota; Fungi; Ascomycota; Schizosaccharomycetes; Schizosaccharomycetales; Schizosaccharomycetaceae
Source: the annotation of a GenBank genome assembly
AUUACUCCCACUUAGUUUUUUUUAUGUCCAUUACAAUUUUGUAAUUGAUUUUUGCAUCUGUUAGUUACCCAUCAAUUGCUAUAAUGUAAAUAAGGUCCGAGUGAACCAUCGUCAUUAGUUCAAUUGUAAUCUAUUUCAGUUGGUUAUAACAGUCCUUUUUAAAAGCACAUUCAAUAGUAAAGAGUAAAUAACUACUUAAUCAUAUGCCAUGAGUAAAAAUAAAGACCUAACAACAGUUACACAACUCCAACAAGAAAUUGUCUUUUACUUGAAGUUGAUAUUUUACUUACUAGCUGGUUAUUAUGGUCGCUAGUAUACGUGAUUUCUCUCUCGCGAUGAUUAAACUCCUAAAUUAAUCUAUAUCUGUAUAGCGAACAAAUUGAAGAACACGCUGCACAAAAUUAAUACGAAACAUUAAACAAAAUAGAACUAUUGGUCUAAAAUUCGCUUGCGAGCUGAUAGGAAUUCUGUAAUGUGUGGAUUGCAAGCAAUAGAAUCGUUACUUUGAAAAAAAAAGGAAGUCUGAUAUUACAACCAUGGCUUUGGUGUAGCGAAAUGAUCCGUUAUUCAAUUGAAAAACUUAUAUUGUUGUUAGUUUCCUUGUUUAAUUAUCCCCAAAUAUCCCACACCAAAAAUCGCUUGUUGAUGGUGGCUCUUCAGCAAUGUGUAUACCAUGUCUACAAAGUUAUACAUAGUGCCCAAAAUAGGUGGUUGGAUUUAAAUUUCUCUGUGAAAUUUAAAAAGCAUUGAGUUUUCACACAAUGUCAUGGAUAUGUUAAAUAGUUCGGUAAAGAAACUCACCGUUGGUGAAAUAGAAGCGAAUCCUUAAUAUAUCCAAAAAUUUAUUGGAGAAUAAAAAACCGCUACUGCCUUGUCAAGACUUCCAU